UUAGGUCCACACUCAAUUUCCUAUCUACUAUAUCUAUGACACAGGCUCUGUAUACCGCUUCUCCCAAUAGUGUCAUACUCCCAGUAGUAGACACAAACAACACAGAAUCAAGUUUAUUAGGUAAUACAUUAAAUUUUGAUGCAAAAAUAGGUGAAACAAAUGAAUGUGAUGCACCAGUAUCAAUCAAAACAUGAGCAAGAUAGUUACAGAUAGUGUACAUACCCUGUACCACGUCCGAGUUAGCUUCUGCAUCCUGCUGGGUGAGAUUGUAAGAUCUACCCUGGAUAGGAGGUCUAUCCUGAUUCUGGUCUUUGAGCACUCUCUCGCAUAAUGUUGGGCACUACCACAUAUGCGACAGGUGUUGUUGAGUGAUAGUAGGGUCGGUUCUCAUGAUCCCUGCCGCAAUGCUGACAGAUCUUACUACGUCCUACCACUAGAGCCUGAGGGGGAGCUUGGAUCACCGGCUUGGGCCUCUUGUUCUAUUGAACAGACGCAGUAGGCUCUGGUCUGUGGGGUAGAGCUGAGGGUUUGAGGUUCUCUACUGCCUGUGAGAGGGUGCAGAAGCUCCUCUCCACUAGCUGUGUCUUGGCCAGAACGGCCAAAUAAGUA
Molecule: long non-coding RNA, 609 nt
Filed under: Carica papaya (papaya)
Lineage: Eukaryota; Viridiplantae; Streptophyta; Magnoliopsida; Brassicales; Caricaceae
Description: long non-coding RNA (CPAP_LNC007974)
Source: RNAcentral